This 1540-nucleotide ribosomal RNA is filed under the name Klebsiella quasipneumoniae. RNAcentral describes it as "16S ribosomal RNA". It matches the Rfam family "Bacterial small subunit ribosomal RNA". The record is from RNAcentral. Lineage: Bacteria; Pseudomonadati; Pseudomonadota; Gammaproteobacteria; Enterobacterales; Enterobacteriaceae.
AAAUUGAAGAGUUUGAUCAUGGCUCAGAUUGAACGCUGGCGGCAGGCCUAACACAUGCAAGUCGAGCGGUAGCACAGAGAGCUUGCUCUCGGGUGACGAGCGGCGGACGGGUGAGUAAUGUCUGGGAAACUGCCUGAUGGAGGGGGAUAACUACUGGAAACGGUAGCUAAUACCGCAUAAUGUCGCAAGACCAAAGUGGGGGACCUUCGGGCCUCAUGCCAUCAGAUGUGCCCAGAUGGGAUUAGCUAGUAGGUGGGGUAAUGGCUCACCUAGGCGACGAUCCCUAGCUGGUCUGAGAGGAUGACCAGCCACACUGGAACUGAGACACGGUCCAGACUCCUACGGGAGGCAGCAGUGGGGAAUAUUGCACAAUGGGCGCAAGCCUGAUGCAGCCAUGCCGCGUGUGUGAAGAAGGCCUUCGGGUUGUAAAGCACUUUCAGCGGGGAGGAAGGCGAUAAGGUUAAUAACCUUAUCGAUUGACGUUACCCGCAGAAGAAGCACCGGCUAACUCCGUGCCAGCAGCCGCGGUAAUACGGAGGGUGCAAGCGUUAAUCGGAAUUACUGGGCGUAAAGCGCACGCAGGCGGUCUGUCAAGUCGGAUGUGAAAUCCCCGGGCUCAACCUGGGAACUGCAUUCGAAACUGGCAGGCUAGAGUCUUGUAGAGGGGGGUAGAAUUCCAGGUGUAGCGGUGAAAUGCGUAGAGAUCUGGAGGAAUACCGGUGGCGAAGGCGGCCCCCUGGACAAAGACUGACGCUCAGGUGCGAAAGCGUGGGGAGCAAACAGGAUUAGAUACCCUGGUAGUCCACGCCGUAAACGAUGUCGAUUUGGAGGUUGUGCCCUUGAGGCGUGGCUUCCGGAGCUAACGCGUUAAAUCGACCGCCUGGGGAGUACGGCCGCAAGGUUAAAACUCAAAUGAAUUGACGGGGGCCCGCACAAGCGGUGGAGCAUGUGGUUUAAUUCGAUGCAACGCGAAGAACCUUACCUGGUCUUGACAUCCACAGAACUUAGCAGAGAUGCUUUGGUGCCUUCGGGAACUGUGAGACAGGUGCUGCAUGGCUGUCGUCAGCUCGUGUUGUGAAAUGUUGGGUUAAGUCCCGCAACGAGCGCAACCCUUAUCCUUUGUUGCCAGCGGUUAGGCCGGGAACUCAAAGGAGACUGCCAGUGAUAAACUGGAGGAAGGUGGGGAUGACGUCAAGUCAUCAUGGCCCUUACGACCAGGGCUACACACGUGCUACAAUGGCAUAUACAAAGAGAAGCGACCUCGCGAGAGCAAGCGGACCUCAUAAAGUAUGUCGUAGUCCGGAUUGGAGUCUGCAACUCGACUCCAUGAAGUCGGAAUCGCUAGUAAUCGUAGAUCAGAAUGCUACGGUGAAUACGUUCCCGGGCCUUGUACACACCGCCCGUCACACCAUGGGAGUGGGUUGCAAAAGAAGUAGGUAGCUUAACCUUCGGGAGGGCGCUUACCACUUUGUGAUUCAUGACUGGGGUGAAGUCGUAACAAGGUAACCGUAGGGGAACCUGCGGUUGGAUCACCUCCUUA